Molecule: non-coding RNA, 125 nt
Organism: Triticum aestivum (bread wheat)
Lineage: Eukaryota; Viridiplantae; Streptophyta; Magnoliopsida; Poales; Poaceae
Source: Rfam
GGAGUACUCCCUCCGUUCGGAAUUACAUGUCACGAAAAUGGAUGAAUCUAGAAGUAUUUUAGUUCUAGAUGCAUCAUUUUUUAUCCAUUUCUCCGACGAGUAUUUCCGGACGGAGGGAGUAUCUG